Molecule: long non-coding RNA, 182 nt
Organism: Perca fluviatilis (European perch)
Lineage: Eukaryota; Metazoa; Chordata; Actinopteri; Perciformes; Percidae
Exons: 3
Source: RefSeq, a predicted model, not a curated record
ACUCCGGACUUUACUACUGUGAUGGAAAACCAGCUGUUUAUCUGAACGUAAUCAAAGCUAUUCUUCCAGAGACUCCUUAUCCGUGGCAGAUGUGUGUUCGUACGGUGAUCGGAAUCCUCUAUUUAAUCAUCAUGAUCAGCAUCACCGUCACCACCUGGAGGAAAGCUCGACAAACAGAAGCG